GAUGAACGCUAGCUACAGGCUUAACACAUGCAAGUCGAGGGGAAACGAUAGAGAAAGCUUGCUUUUUCUAGGCGUCGACCGGCGCACGGGUGAGUAACGCGUAUCCAACCUGCCCAUCACUUGGGGAUAACCUUGCGAAAGUAAGACUAAUACCCAAUGACGUCCAUAGAAGACAUCUGAAAUGGAUUAAAGAUUUAUCGGUGAUGGAUGGGGAUGCGUUUGAUUAGCUUGUUAGCGGGGUAACGGCCCACCAAGGCGACGAUCAGUAGGGGUUCUGAGAGGAAGGUCCCCCACAUUGGAACUGAGACACGGUCCAAACUCCUACGGGAGGCAGCAGUGAGGAAUAUUGGUCAAUGGACGAGAGUCUGAACCAGCCAAGUAGCGUGCAGGAUGACGGCCCUAUGGGUUGUAAACUGCUUUUAUAAGGGAAUAAAGUGGGAGUCGUGACUCCUUUUGCAUGUACCUUAUGAAUAAGGACCGGCUAAUUCCGUGCCAGCCGCCGCCGUAA
This 508-nucleotide ribosomal RNA is filed under the name uncultured bacterium. Its description in RNAcentral is "partial 16S ribosomal RNA". It matches the Rfam family "Bacterial small subunit ribosomal RNA", at positions 28 to 523 of the family's 1533-position model. The record is from RNAcentral.